This 68-nucleotide transfer RNA is filed under the name Blattella lituricollis (false German cockroach). RNAcentral describes it as "tRNA-Trp". RNAcentral also lists the same sequence under 2 other names. The record is from RNAcentral. Lineage: Eukaryota; Metazoa; Arthropoda; Insecta; Blattodea; Blattellidae.
AAGGCUUUAAGUUAAUCAAAACUAAUAUCCUUCAAAGUUAUAAAUAAAGAUUAUUUCUUUAAGCCUUA